Prunus dulcis (almond) is the source of this 1525-nucleotide RNA transcript. It is a transcript of the gene named zinc finger protein ZOP1-like, with no coding region annotated. The record is from RefSeq and is a predicted model, not a curated record. The transcript is spliced from 7 exons. NCBI's taxonomy places the organism in Eukaryota, Viridiplantae, Streptophyta, Magnoliopsida, Rosales, Rosaceae.
GAGUUUCCGUGUCCGCUCCGCGAGAUAGAGAUACCCUUUUAAUUUUAUUUUGGGCGCAGAAUUUCUUCGAACAGUUUUCAUAGCUGCAAAGCUCCGAUCUUUGCCCUAACGGUCUGAUUUUGGGGUUGCCUCCCAUCAGCAUCAGAACCACAAAUUCGCCACCAUGACUGAGUAUUGGGUUAGCCAGGGCAACAAAUGGUGUGACUUCUGCAAAAUCUACAUAUCAAACAACCCUUCUAGCAUUAGAAAUCAUGAGCUUGGUCAGCGUCACAAGGAUAAUGUUGCUAAGAAGCUUGCUGAUAUGCGAAAAGAGAAAGUUGCAAAAGAGAAGGAAGAAAAAGAAGCAGAACGUGCCCUUCUGCAAAUUGAAGCAAAAGCUAAGCGCAGCUACCAAAAGGAUGUGGCAAGCUUUCAGGAGGCUAGAGAUGCCCGGGCAUUCGAUGUUGAAGAUGAUGGUCAAGAGAAAUGGCAGUAUAACAGUACGUCUGGUUAUUACUACAAUCAAAGUAACGGCUUUUACUAUGAUGCGAAUUCAGGUUUCUACUAUUCUGACGCUAUAGGAAAGUGGGUGGCACAGGAAGAGGCAUAUGCGAACCCGCAGUUUUUAUCAAAUGCUGGAUAUAAAGAAUCCAUUUUGAAAAGGCCAGGGUCAACUUCAGGGGCAGGACCAGCUACAGAAAACAAAGGUGCUGAUAAAUCUCAAAAUGGGCCUCCACCUGGGCCAGUGGUCUCAGCUUCUUUAAACCCUAUGAGAUCUGUUAAAGGUGCUCGUUCGUCGGUUUCUGUUGGAAAGAGAAAGAGGCAAGAGGAGAAGCCAAGGGCUAUAUCCGCACAAGAAGCAGCUGCACUUAAAGCGAGGGAGGCUGCAAGGAAGAGAGUUGAAGAGAGAGAGAAACCAUUACUUGGUCUUUACCGGCCGCAGUGAUUUGGCUGCUCAAGCAAGUUCAUAUCCUUAAGGACCUUAACACAAAGGAAGUCACGAAGACUUUUGAAUGCAACAACUCAUUUUAUGCAAUGGCUGGUCCUAAGUUGUUGGUUAUGUGAUCUCGCGUUACAUUUCGAUUGCCAAAAAUUGCUUGCUGGCAUUGCAAAUUUGGUUCUUCAAAAUGAUGGGUGUCUGAGCCUUCUUCAAUGUGCAACUGCUGGACAAUUAGGGUGAAAGUAAUCUCAUAUCUCUAGUACUUCUAUUUUUCUUUUACUUCCAACAUAUGAAUAUGGCCGAUGUAAUUCUAGUUUCAUUUUUCAACGAGGAACGUUAUCAUAACAAAGUAUUUAUGAGCUGAUAUUGGCUCGCAGGUGUGUAGUGUAGUAGUUAAAUGUUAGUUUUUGUUAAGCUCUUGUAUGACGUUUAGCGUAUAGAAAUAUUAAUGAAUGUUGUAACUGAGCAUGAAAUACGGAUACCAAGUACAUGACUACGUAGUCUUUGUUAUUGAGUUCUGAUGUUGAGCACAUGAUUUUAUGAGGUUAUGAUGGGGCUACGUAGAGCACCCAUUUGGUAAAGUUGUAAAAAUGCAAUACUGUCAAA